UUAAGCUAUGACCAAAGGUGUAAUUCUCCACAUGGAAAAUAGGAAGAGGAUUUUGCGGAGACAUGGAAUGAUCCCCUCUCCAGUAAUAAGGCUCAGUCCAGUCACUCAAGUUCCAGGGAACUUCUGAAAGCCCAAGUCUCUCUGUGCCUCAGUUGCAGCACCCAAAAGGUUGUCGUGGUUUAGCCCCAGUCAGCAACCCAGCCCCACGCAGCCGCUCGCUCACUCCCCCCGGUGGGACGGGGGAGAGAAUCGGAAGAGUAAGAGUGACACAACUCAUGGUUUGAGAUAAAGACAGCUUAACAGAUCCCAGUUCAAACAGUAAAUGGGAGGAUGCAGAAGGAAGGCACCAUGAGUGCACAGGUGAGACGUGGAGUGUUCUACUUCAUUCCAAAGAACAGGAAUCAUACCUGAACUGGUAGUAGCUGCCAGCAAGAGCCGCUCACAGGGAGACAGUGGCUGUUUACCUGCACCGCUUGGCCAGACCAGGGAGGACAGACCCACUUGUGUUCUCCGACAGAAGACAGUGACGUGACACAAAUGGUAGCACAAGGCUCUUACUGUUACAUUCAGUAAUUGAUUCUCCUGAAUGGAUUGUGGCUCCCUAAAGGUUGCAAAGAAUGAUUGUACAGCAUC
Phalacrocorax carbo (great cormorant) is the source of this 633-nucleotide non-coding RNA. The record is from RefSeq and is a predicted model, not a curated record. Lineage: Eukaryota; Metazoa; Chordata; Aves; Suliformes; Phalacrocoracidae.